This 426-nucleotide ribosomal RNA is filed under the name uncultured bacterium. RNAcentral describes it as "partial 16S ribosomal RNA". It matches the Rfam family "Bacterial small subunit ribosomal RNA", at positions 354 to 796 of the family's 1533-position model. The record is from RNAcentral.
GUGAGGAAUUUUCCGCAAUGGACGAAAGCCUGACGGAGCAAUGCCGCGUGAAGGAUGAAGGCCUAUGGGUUGUAAACUUCUUUUCUCAGAAAAGAAUUAUGACGGUAUCUGAGGAAUAAGCAUCGGCUAACUCUGUGCCAGCAGCCGCGGUAAGACAGAGGAUGCAAGCGUUAUCCGGAAUGAUUGGGCGUAAAGCGUCUGUAGGUUGUUUAAAAAGUAUUCUGUCAAAGAUUAGGGCUUAACCCUAGAUAGGCAGAAUAAACUUUUAAGCUAGAGUUUGGUAGAGGCAGAGGGAAUUCCCGGUGGAGCGGUGAAAUGCGUAGAUAUCGGGAGGAACACCAAAGGCGAAGGCACUCUGCUGGGCCAAUACUAACACUGAGAGACGAAAGCGAGGGGAGCAAAUGGGAUUAGAUACCCUGGUAGUCC